CGGAACAUAGCUCAGUGGGAGAACAACUGUCUUAUACACAGCAAGUCCCAGGUUCGAUUCCUGGUGUUCCGA
This 72-nucleotide transfer RNA is filed under the name Lachnospiraceae bacterium OF09-33XD. It matches the Rfam family "tRNA". From Rfam's summary of the family: Transfer RNA (tRNA) molecules are approximately 80 nucleotides in length. Their secondary structure includes four short double-helical elements and three loops (D, anti-codon, and T loops). Further hydrogen bonds mediate the characteristic L-shaped molecular structure. tRNAs have two regions of fundamental functional importance: the anti-codon, which is responsible for specific mRNA codon recognition, and the 3' end, to which the tRNAs corresponding amino acid is attached (by aminoacyl-tRNA synthetases). tRNAs cope with the degeneracy of the genetic code in two manners: having more than one tRNA (with a specific anti-codon) for a particular amino acid; and 'wobble' base-pairing, i.e. permitting non-standard base-pairing at the 3rd anti-codon position. The record is from Rfam by way of RNAcentral. Lineage: Bacteria; Bacillati; Bacillota; Clostridia; Lachnospirales; Lachnospiraceae. RNAcentral also lists the same sequence under 1 other name.